ACGGUCCUAAGGUAGCGAAAUUCCUUGUCGGGUAAGUUCCGACCCGCACGAAAGGUGUAAUGAUCUGGGCACUGUCUCGACCAUAGACUCGGUGAAAUUUUAAUACCUGUGAAAAUGCAGGUUACCCGCGACAGGACGGAAAGACCCCGUGGAGCUUUACUGCAGCUUGAUAUUGGAAUUCGGUCAAUCAUGUAGAGAAUAGGUGGGAGAUGUUGAUACUUAAACGCCAGUUUAAGUGGAGUCGCCUUUGGAAUACCACCCUUGAUUAAUUGGAUUUCUAACCUGGUACCGUGAAUCCGGUAUAGGGACAGUGUCUGGUGGGCAGUUUGACUGGGGCGGUCGCCUCCCAAAGAGUAACGGAGGCGCUCAAAGGUUCCCUCAAAAUGGUUGGAAAUCAUUUGUAGAGUGUAAAGGUAUAAGGGAGCUUAACUGCGAGACCUACAAGUCAAGCAGAUGCGAAAGCAGGACUUAGUGAUCAGGCGAUUCAGUAUGGAAUGGUCGUCGCUUAACGGAUAAAAGUUACCCCGGGGAUAACAGGCUGAUACUACCCAAUAGUUCACAUAGACGGUAGUGUUUGGCACCUCGAUGUCGGCUCGUCACAUCCUGGAGGUGUAGUCGCUUCCAAGGGUUGGGCUGUUCGCCCAUUAAAGUGGCACGCGAGCUGGGUUCAGAACGUCGUGAGACAGUUCGGUCCCUAUCUGUUGUGGGCGCAGGAUAUUUGAGGAGCUCUGACUCUAGUACGAGAGGACCGGGUUGGACAUACCUCUGGUGAAUCAGUUGUGUCGCCAGAUGCACUGCUGAGUAGCUAUGUAUGGAUUGGAUAAGCGCUGAAAGCAUCUAAGCGCGAAGCCAGCUUCAAGAUGAGAUAUCCUUACAGGGUCGUUCGAGAUGAGAACGUUGAUAGGUUGCAGGUGUAUAGUCGGUGACGGCACAGCCGAGCAAUACUAAUUACCCGAAUGUUUACUUUA
This 968-nucleotide ribosomal RNA is filed under the name human gut metagenome. RNAcentral describes it as "bacterial LSU rRNA". It matches the Rfam family "Bacterial large subunit ribosomal RNA", at positions 1945 to 2925 of the family's 2925-position model. The record is from RNAcentral.